UACGUAGGAGACGAGCGUUGUCCGGAAUUACUGGGCGUAAAGCGCGUGUAGGCGGAUGAGCAAGUCUGCUGUGAAAGCUCCUGGCUUAACCGGGAGUGGUCGGUGGAAACUGCUCGUCUGGAGGACGGUAGAGGUAGGUAGAAUUCCCGGUGUAGUGGUGAAAUGCGUAGAGAUCGGGAGGAAUACCUGUGGCGAAGGCGGCCUACUGGGCCGGACCUGACGCUGAGACGCGAAGGCGUGGGGAGCAAACAGG
RNAcentral lists this ribosomal RNA (253 nucleotides) under uncultured bacterium. RNAcentral's name for it is "partial 16S ribosomal RNA". It matches the Rfam family "Bacterial small subunit ribosomal RNA", at positions 524 to 776 of the family's 1533-position model. The record is from RNAcentral.